CUAGUGGGGGAAUUUCUCUAGAUUGUCCCCAUUCCCCCUAUGGUUCACAAGCCUUCACCAAACUCUAGUAGGCUACUAGUGUAGUAAUAAGACCAUAGUAUAUUGUUCUCAACCUCUUACCAAGACCAUGUAUGAGAUGAAUACGGCAAGCACUAGGCUCAAUUUUUCCUUUGAGAGGGAGCCUGCAGCACUAGUAUCAGUUAUGCCAUUUCCCGAGGGGCCUAGUCCAAACCCUCCUCCGGUGCCAGUUGUUGGUGUGAAGGUGUUGGGUGUCGUACUGCCAGGGAAGGUGGAGGGUGUCGUGGUACCCGGGUUGGUGGUGGGUGUUGUAGUGCUUCCCGGAGAUGUGGGUGUCGCAGUGCUUCCUGGAGAGGUGGGUGUUGCAGUGCUUCCCGG
Molecule: unclassified non-coding RNA, 396 nt
Filed under: Hevea brasiliensis (rubber tree)
Lineage: Eukaryota; Viridiplantae; Streptophyta; Magnoliopsida; Malpighiales; Euphorbiaceae
Source: RNAcentral